GUGGCUGGAGAGAUGGCUCAGCGGUUAAGAGCACUGAUUGUCCUUCCAGAGGUCCUGAGUUCAAGUCCCAGCAACCACA
Molecule: transfer RNA, 79 nt
Filed under: Mus musculus (house mouse)
Lineage: Eukaryota; Metazoa; Chordata; Mammalia; Rodentia; Muridae
Description: tRNA-Asp
Source: RNAcentral